AGGACGCUGGGGUAUGCGUUAGGCAAUUUACUCCUGGGGCCAAUGAAAUCUCAUCGGGAGCUGUCUUCUACUUAGGCCGUGGCCUUUGUAUACGGCGCCCACCUGCUAACGCAGGCCACAAGAGAGUUCUUUAUGCCAACGGUUCACCUGGCGUCCGC
Molecule: non-coding RNA, 158 nt
Filed under: Alphaproteobacteria bacterium 43-37
Lineage: Bacteria; Pseudomonadati; Pseudomonadota; Alphaproteobacteria
Also listed under: 1 other name
Description: 6S RNA
Rfam family: 6S / SsrS RNA
About the family: E. coli 6S RNA was the first non coding RNA to be sequenced, but its function was unknown until recently.
Source: RNAcentral